Long non-coding RNA from Panicum hallii, 274 nucleotides. RefSeq lists it as uncharacterized. The transcript is spliced from 3 exons. The record is from RefSeq and is a predicted model, not a curated record. Lineage: Eukaryota; Viridiplantae; Streptophyta; Magnoliopsida; Poales; Poaceae.
AAAUCGAUGCCAACUAUUAGUGAAAAUCCUGUUAAUGAAGACACCCUAUCUAACAUGAUGCUUCCCGGGAACCAAAGCAGAAAAACAAACCCUAUAGAAGCAUUUAAGGGAAAUAACGAUUCCUCUGAUAAUAUCAGACUAAUCAAGGUUCAAGUAGGAAGGUUGUUACGCAUUUGAAAAGAUUGCCAGAAAAGACAGGAUCCAAAGAAAAGUGCAGUCAACAUAGCUCACAGGAUGCAACUGUAGUGAAUGGCUUAAUGGAAAGUACAAUGAC